This 458-nucleotide ribosomal RNA is filed under the name uncultured bacterium. Its description in RNAcentral is "partial 16S ribosomal RNA". It matches the Rfam family "Bacterial small subunit ribosomal RNA", at positions 338 to 795 of the family's 1533-position model. The record is from RNAcentral.
CCUACGGGUGGCAGCAGUGAGGAAUAUUGGUCAAUGGGCGAGAGCCUGAACCAGCCAAGUCGCGUGAGGGAGUACUGCCCUAUGGGUUGUAAACCUCUUUUGUCGGGGAGCAAAUGCCGGACGUGUUCGCCUGAGCGAGUAUCCGAAGAAAAAGCAUCGGCUAACUCCGCGCCAGCAGCCGCGGUAAUAUGUAGGAUGCGAGCGUUAUCCGGAUUUAUUGGGUGUAAAGGGUGCGCAGGCGGAUGUUUAAGUCAGCGGUAAAAUCGUGGGGCUCAACCCCAUCCAGCCGUUGAAACUGGGGAUCUAGAGUGUGCGAGAGGUAUGCGGAAUGCGUGGUGUAGCGGUGAAAUGCAUAGAUAUCACGCAGAACCCCGAUUGCGAAGGCAGCAUACCGGUGCACAACUGACGCUCAGGCACGAAAGCGUGGGUAUCGAACAGGAUUAGAUACCCUUGUAGUC